This 460-nucleotide ribosomal RNA is filed under the name uncultured bacterium. Its description in RNAcentral is "partial 16S ribosomal RNA". It matches the Rfam family "Bacterial small subunit ribosomal RNA", at positions 338 to 795 of the family's 1533-position model. The record is from RNAcentral.
CCUACGGGAGGCUGCAGUGAGGAAUAUUGGUCAAUGGACGAGAGUCUGAACCAGCCAAGUAGCGUGAAGGAUGACUGCCCUAUGGGUUGUAAACUUCUUUUAUAUGGGAAUAAAAUGUUCCACGUGUGGGAUUUUGUAUGUACCAUAUGAAUAAGGAUCGGCUAACUCCGUGCCAGCAGCCGCGGUAAUACGGAGGAUCCGAGCGUUAUCCGGAUUUAUUGGGUUUAAAGGGAGCGUAGGUGGAUUGUUAAGUCAGUUGUGAAAGUUUGCAGCUCAACCGUAAAAUGGCAGUUGAAACUGGCAGUCUUGAGUACAGUAGAGGUGGGCGGAAUGCGUGGUGUAGCGGUGAAAUGCUUAGAUAGCACGAAGAACUCCGAUUGCGAAGGCAGUUCACUGGACUGCAACUGACACUGAGGCUCGAAAGUGUGGGUAUCAAACAGGAUUAGAUACCCUAGUAGUC